Molecule: unclassified non-coding RNA, 253 nt
Filed under: Hevea brasiliensis (rubber tree)
Lineage: Eukaryota; Viridiplantae; Streptophyta; Magnoliopsida; Malpighiales; Euphorbiaceae
Source: RNAcentral
CAUCUAGCGAUUUUUAAAUGUAAAAUUGGGUAGGAAGUUUCAGCCUUUCAGGUUUAACAUUUACCUUGGAGCGAGUAGAGAGAGGAGAGAAUCGAAGAUGGAGUCGCAGAUUACGGUUGAUUGAAGAGAAGCACGAUAGCUGAGAAACUGUUGGUGCUACUGCUGCCAUGAUUGAGAUCAGGAACACAGGAAUUAGGCCACGGGCCACUAGGCAACUGGUUUGGUCCCUUCUUUUAGUGUAGCGUCUUGACCU